GAUGAACCCUUGGCGGCGUGCUUAACACAUGCAAGUCGAACGAUGAAGCCCAGCUUGCUGGGUGGAUUAGUGGCGAACGGGUGAGUAACACGUGAGUAACCUGCCCUUAACUCUGGGAUAAGCCUGGGAAACUGGGUCUAAUACCGGAUAGGAGCGUCCACCGCAUGGUGGGUGUUGGAAAGAUUUAUCGGUUUUGGAUGGACUCGCGGCCUAUCAGCUUGUUGGUGAGGUAAUGGCUCACCAAGGCGACGACGGGUAGCCGGCCUGAGAGGGUGACCGGCCACACUGGGACUGAGACACGGCCCAUACUCCUACGGGAGGCAGCAGUGGGGAAUAUUGCACAAUGGGCGCAAGCCUGAUGCAGCGACGCCGCGUGAGGGAUGACGGCCUUCGGGUUGUAAACCUCUUUCAGUAUGGAAGAAGCGAAAGUGACGGUACCUGCAGAAGAAGCACCGGCUAACUACGUGCCAUCAACCGCGGUUAUACGUAGGGUGCCGAGGCGUUAUCCGGAAUUUUGGGCGUAAAAAGCUCGUAGGCGGUUUGUCCCGUCUGUCGUGAAAAUCUGGGGCUUUACCCCGGAUCUGCGGUGGGGUCGGGCCGACUAUAUUGCAGUAGGGGAGACUGGAAUUCCUGGUGUAGCGGUGGAAUGCGCAGAUAUCAGGAGGAACACCGAUGGCGAAGGCAGGUCUCUGGGCUGUAACUGACGCUGAGGAGCGAAAGCAUGGGGAGCGAACAGGAUUAGAUACCCUGGUAGUCCAUGCCGUAAACGUUGGGCACUAGGUGUGGGGACCAUUCCACGGUUUCCGCGCCGCAGCUAACGCAUUAAGUGCCCCGCCUGGGGAGUACGGCCGCAAGGCUAAAACUCAAAGGAAUUGACGGGGGCCCGCACAAGCGGCGGAGCAUGCGGAUUAAUUCGAUGCAACGCGAAGAACCUUACCAAGGCUUGACAUGUUCUCGAUCGCCGUAGAGAUACGGUUUCCCCUUUGGGGCGGGUUCACAGGUGGUGCAUGGUUGUCGUCAGCUCGUGUCGUGAGAUGUUGGGUUAAGUCCCGCAACGAGCGCAACCCUCGUUCCAUGUUGCCAGCACGUAAUGGUGGGGACUCAUGGGAGACUGCCGGGGUCAACUCGGAGGAAGGUGAGGACGACGUCAAAUCAUCAUGCCCCUUGUGUCUUGGGCUUCACGCAUGCUACAAUGGCCGGUACAAUGGGUUGCGAUACUGUGAGGUGGAGCUAAUCCCAAAAAGCCGGUCUCAGUUCGGAUUGGGGUCUGCAACUCGACCCCAUGAAGUCGGAGUCGCUAGUAAUCGCAGAUCAGCAACGCUGCGGUGAAUACGUUCCCGGGCCU
RNAcentral lists this ribosomal RNA (1345 nucleotides) under uncultured bacterium. Its description in RNAcentral is "bacterial SSU rRNA". It matches the Rfam family "Bacterial small subunit ribosomal RNA", at positions 28 to 1381 of the family's 1533-position model. The record is from RNAcentral.